UCGAGCGAAGCACUUAAGUUUGAUUCUUCGGAUGAAGGCUUUUGUGACUGAGCGGCGGACGGGUGAGUAACGCGUGGGUAACCUGCCUCAUACAGGGGGAUAACAGUUAGAAAUGACUGCUAAUACCGCAUAAGACCACAGGGUCGCAUGACCCGGUGGUAAAAACUCCGGUGGUAUGAGAUGGACCCGCGUCUGAUUAGCUAGUUGGUGGGGUAACGGCUCACCAAGGCGACGAUCAGUAGCCGACCUGAGAGGGUGACCGGCCACAUUGGGACUGAGACACGGCCCAAACUCCUACGGGAGGCAGCAGUGGGGAAUAUUGCACAAUGGGCGAAAGCCUGAUGCAGCGACGCCGCGUGAAGGAUGAAGUAUUUCGGUAUGUAAACUUCUAUCAGCAGGGAAGAAAAUGACGGUACCUGACUAAGAAGCCCCGGCUAACUACGUGCCAGCAGCCGCGGUAAUACGUAGGGGGCAAGCGUUAUCCGGAUUUACUGGGUGUAAAGGGAGCGUAGACGGCAUGGCAAGUCUGAAGUGAAAGCCCGGGGCUCAACCCCGGGACUGCUUUGGAAACUGUCAGGCUAGAGUGCUGGAGAGGUAAGUGGAAUUCCUAGUGUAGCGGUGAAAUGCGUAGAUAUUAGGAGGAACACCAGUGGCGAAGGCGGCUUACUGGACAGUAACUGACGUUGAGGCUCGAAAGCGUGGGGAGCAAACAGG
This 714-nucleotide ribosomal RNA is filed under the name uncultured Lachnospiraceae bacterium. Its description in RNAcentral is "bacterial SSU rRNA". It matches the Rfam family "Bacterial small subunit ribosomal RNA", at positions 62 to 776 of the family's 1533-position model. The record is from RNAcentral. Lineage: Bacteria; Bacillati; Bacillota; Clostridia; Lachnospirales; Lachnospiraceae.